UACGGAGGGUGCAAGCGUUAUCCGGAUUUACUGGGUUUAAAGGGUGCGUAGGCGGCUAGGUAAGUCAGUGGUGAAAUCCCCGAGCUCAACUUGGGAACUGCCGUUGAUACUAUCUGUCUUGAAUACCGUGGAGGUGAGCGGAAUAUGUCAUGUAGCGGUGAAAUGCUUAGAGAUUGGGAAGAACACCAGUGGCGAAGGCGGCUAUCUGGACGGUUACUGACGCUAAGACGCGAAAGCGUGGGGAGCAAACAGG
Molecule: ribosomal RNA, 253 nt
Filed under: uncultured bacterium
Lineage: Bacteria
Description: partial 16S ribosomal RNA
Rfam family: Bacterial small subunit ribosomal RNA
Source: RNAcentral